This 72-nucleotide transfer RNA is filed under the name Heterocephalus glaber (naked mole-rat). It matches the Rfam family "tRNA". Rfam says of the family: Transfer RNA (tRNA) molecules are approximately 80 nucleotides in length. Their secondary structure includes four short double-helical elements and three loops (D, anti-codon, and T loops). Lineage: Eukaryota; Metazoa; Chordata; Mammalia; Rodentia; Bathyergidae. The record is from Rfam by way of RNAcentral.
UGUGACAUAGCUCAAUGGUAGAGCAUGUAUUUAGCAUAUAUGAGGCCCUAGGUUUGAUCCCCAGCAUCAAAU